Molecule: unclassified non-coding RNA, 369 nt
Filed under: fungal sp.
Lineage: Eukaryota; Fungi
Description: partial internal transcribed spacer region
Source: RNAcentral
AAGUCGUAACAAGGUAACCGCAGGUUCACCUACGGUUGGAUCAUUAAUGAUUUUAACUUUUUCGAAUUUUCUGUUUUUAUUUUUUUAUUUUUAUUUUUUUAACAAAUUUUUAUUUGUUUUUUAAAUAAAAAAAAAAGGAAACGUUUAUUCGAAAUUUUUUACCCAUUGUGAAUUUGUAUUAAUUUUCGAGUCAGUAGUAGUAAUAAUAAUUAUUAUCACUGUUCUUUUUGAUUUUAUUUUUUAUAUAAUCAAAAAGAAGGUUGGCUCGGCCACUUUUAAAAAAAUCCCUUUUAUUUUAACUUGUCUGAAUUUUUUCUAAUAAAAUAUGAAAUUAUAAAACAACUUUUGACAACGGAUCUCUUGGCUCUC